RNAcentral lists this long non-coding RNA (3751 nucleotides) under Sus scrofa (pig). RNAcentral's name for it is "lncRNA (ENSSSCG00050054936.1)". The record is from RNAcentral. Lineage: Eukaryota; Metazoa; Chordata; Mammalia; Artiodactyla; Suidae.
UUUUUUUUUUUUUUUGCUUUUUAGGGUUGCACCCGUGGCAUAUGGAGGAUCCCAGGCUGGGGUCUAAUUGGGGCUGCAGCCGCCGGCCUAUGCCAGAGCCACAGCAACGCAGGAUCCGAGCCACAUCUGAGACCUACACCACAGCUCACAUCAAUGCCGGAUCCUUAACCCACUGAGUGAGGCCAAAGGUUGAACCUGCAAGUUCAUGGUUCCUAGUCGGAACUCCAGAAUGUCGACCAUCUUUUCCUGUGUUUAUAGCCAUCUGCAUACCUUCUUUGGAAAAAGAAGUCUAUUCAAAUUUUUUGCCCACUUUUAAAUUGGUUGUCUCUUUCUUGUUGAGUAAGUGUAUCUUCAUUUCUCCAUCCAGGAGUGGAACUGCUGGAUCACAUGAAAGCCCUUUAUGCAUUUAAUUCUUUGAAAAGCUGCCAGACUGUUUUCAAAGGCAGCUGCACCAUUUUACAUUCCCCCCCUGCAGCGUAUCUGGUUCCAGUUUCCCCACACUCUCACUCUGUGUUAUCUCUUAUCUGUCCCCUUGCUUGUAGCCCUUUCAGGAGGAUGCAGUUGUAUCUCAAUGAGGAUCUAAGCUGUAUGUCUCUGACUGCUAACGAGGUUGACCAUCUUUUUAGGUACUCAUUGGCCACUCGGGGAGCUUCUUUGAAAAAACUCUAUUCAGAUCCUUCCUUUGCCUAUCCCUUAGGUUGUGAAAUUUAUUUUGCUUUUUGAUAGCUCUGUGCCAACAGAUUAAGCUGUGCAUCUAAGCUAGGAUUUUUCCAGAGAACACUAGUCUUUAUCAUAGGGAAUUCAUCAAGGCUUUCAAAGAGUUAGCAUCUACUCAGAAGUCAUGUCAUAUGGUAUAAAUGCAGAUUUGAUUCAGCACAGACUCCCUAAGAAGAAAUUUUAUUGAAAUUUUGCUUUCAAAUUUUGAAGCAAAUCCACAAUGGGACAACAUGGGACUUGAAAGUAGCUUAGUUUUUAGCUGAGUGCUAAGGCAUUACCUAGGUGAAGUGCGAUAACAUUAAUUGUAAGCGACAAAGUACAAAGUUUUACAUUGAUUAUUUAGACUCAUGUUUAAAAAUACAUAAGCAAGUGAUCGCUGUAGUUAAUGACAUUAACAUAAAAUUGAAUAUGAUUCAACUUUCAGUAAUGAUGGGAUAAUUAAAAUUAUACUUUUAGCUAAAAAUAAUGCUUUUAAUUCUUCAUAGCUCUUUCCAUAAGCAAUAUUGAACAAAACAAGCAGGUUAAAAGCAUAACCUACAAAACAUCCUUAUUUUACAUGAAAUGUGAAAACCCCCAAAUCCACAGUGAAAUAAAUACGCAGAACUGUGGGGCUCUACAACAUUUCGUUAGUGAAGAUCCUCAGGCAGGGUAGGGCCAGGAAAGAAGAUGACGACAUGGAAAGAUGCUGGCCUGGAUGUCUGCAGACAAAGGUCUAUCACAGAGAGUCAAUUACUUCACCUUUUCGGACCUCAGUUUCCAAAUCCAUAAAAUGAAAAGAUGUAGCUGGAUGGACAUCUGAGGCCCAUCUCUACACGUCCUAUUAAUCUACAGUGACCAAAGGGCAUGGCUGGUGGAUUGGAUGGCAUUUUCUAAGGAAAAGUAAGUCCAAUGAGGCAAGAUCGUUCCAAAUCGGGGAGUCAGAUCCACUUUAGAAUAAGAAAAACUGUCCAUACAAACAGUCUAAUCCCCUAAUGGUUUGUUCAAUUGUCCGGCUGUGUGUGUGUGUGUGUGUGUGUGCAUGCACACACGUGCACACGCACAUGCACACACACAAAGCUAGCACUUUCCAAGUUUUGAUGCUAUUUCACAAAACAGUUGUGUCCCAAAUACUUGGAAAACAACAGGUUCAGCAAAGUUGUGGCAGACCCUUUUAGCUGCUUAACCAAAACCCAUUCUCUCCUUUUUUUCUCCAUUUAACAUCAUUUUAGUUUGAUUUGAGGCGGCAGGAUGUCUGGACUGUGGACUGUGACCAGCCUAGGUUUAUCAUUGUAGUCCUGCUCUCUGCUCCCUCAGCCUCCCUGCAGCUACGGGUGGCAGGGGGCCAAAUCGCUUUAUGGCCAUGGAAGUCUCUUCUUCCAGAAGUACCUCCAGGGAUUACUUUUCCGGGGCCUAUGUUUUGGGAUUAUUGACACAGACUAACUUAAUUACAUAGUGGACAGAAGAAUAUACUCCCUGGCCAAUCCUGCCAGAAUGUUACUCAUCUUUUAGGCGUUUCUCCCAUAUAACAUUUAUUCCAGUUUCUCUCAAUAAAUAAAAAUCUGUAAUUCAUUCACAUACUGGAACUUACCUUGGCCCCAUUUUUGGAAAGGAUUGAAAAUGAAGGGGAAAAAAAUCUGUUGGCUAAGGAGGAACAUGUCUACUAAGUUUCUUGUCUAGCACAAGGCUACAGAACUCAGGAAUUCGUAUUUUCUGAGUACACAAAACAUAACACGCAUGUGAAUCAACCUUUUAGAUGUAGCUGUCCUGUCAAACUAAAAAAAAAAAAAAAAAAAAAAAGCCUGGAAUCUAGUGACUCUCAGUUCUGUGUACCAAAAUCACCUGUGAUGCUGUAAAAAGAAAAUUAUAAGUGCCUUCCAUGCACUGCACACCCCUUCCGACUUAAUAGGUCUGGAGGUGGCUCAGGCAUCCAUCAUUUUCAAAGCCCCAGGGUGACUCUGACUGGUGGCCAAGGUUGAAGUGCAGUGCUUUAUAAAUCACAGAGGCUGCGACGGUUCAAGAUGUUCAAGGCGAAUAAAGCCUUAAGCCGCGGUGGAAACCACCUGCUAAGCGGUACCAGUUGGGUCUGGAACUCAGCAGCUGGGUGACUCUGGGCAGAUAAAACUCUGGGCCUUAAAGAGUCCUUCCAAAGAGGUGAACUUUUGCUAUGGAUGUCCACGCCGAACGUUUAUAAAAGCACAUGUAGAAUUACAAAGGUGCUUGGAAACGUUUCACGUAGUAUUUAAUCUGAGUAUCGUGUCAUGGAAGAUCCCUUCCCUGCCCUGUUCGCAGGGAAAAAUCUACUGUUCCUUCCAACGGGAUAGGAAAUUUCAAUCUGCGAGGCCUUCCCUGACCCACCCACCCAGAAGUGUUACCUUGACCGGGUUUCUGGGGCAGGUUCUCCAUCUCCCCUCCACACUGGCCUCGUUACCUGCCACCCCCGGCGCCACUGGCACACUAUGGGCGCCUGCACAAGCAGGGGGUCUCGGUCUUUUCAGUACCCCCCGUGACGGGCGAUGUCAGCGGAGACGAACCCAAGGGCCGUCGCUCGCCUGAGCACGGACGCCAGGGAAACGACCCUCCCCGAACUCGGUUAUGCAGCCCGUUUCUCUUCCCAAGGCCGAAUCUCUCUCCCUCCUGCACUGUGACUGUGGUCCUCCGACCCCGAAACCCCCCGAGGGAGGCCGCGAGGGCUGCCGAGACGCGCCCUCCCAACCACCACACGGGCGACAACUGGCUGGCAACCCGCUCGACAGGUCAGGGGUCAGGAGGCGGAGCCAGGAGCCCAGGCGUCGCUCCAGCGCGCGAAGUCUUAAACCCUACACGCACCUUCCUCAUCCCGAGAUGCUCGGACGACUCCCCGCUGUGGCUCAGGGACCAGGCCCCCGAGGUCGCCGGUCCCUGCCUCUGACAGCGAACGCGGGAAAGCUGUAACCGCCCGGACGGGAAGGUGGCGGCACCGACCCCAGGGCGUCUCCUCCUGCCGGCGCCUCAGGGAUCCCAGGAGGCCCUGCCCACCGUCCGACACCCCUGGGGUCCGGCCAGGCAGGCGGCCCUC